UCCGAGCCCACACGCGCCCCCUCUGUGCCACUCACUUUGCAUCCUGGACUAGAUGAUGUAGCUCGGAUCUUCCCCUUCGUCGUUUAAGAUACUAACAGUAAUAGCUGACACAAACCAAUAAGGAAUUCAACUUUGACUUCCUUCCCAGCCAUGACCUUUGCCCUCACGUUGAAGGAAAUGGGCUUGUUGUCCUCCAGGCCGAUAUCAGUGAACCGGCGUAAGCACCGAGCGAGAGUGUUUCCCAACCAGAUAGGAUCUAAUGGAUCUAAUCUACUGCUGACAAGCGUGCUUCGUAUUGUACUUUACAAUGAUGCGGUCCCACUUCUCUGCCGAGCCAAUGUGUCAUCGUAACACUGCUAGUGCUAAUGAAUGACUUGGUGUGCGUUCUGUGUCCUGCGGUUCUGCCCGUUGACCCGUUGCUGGUUGUCUCGCUGUGUCCCUGCGACCGGCUCUUUGUCAAAGACUGUCCUGUUGUGGAACUCUACUCUUGUUGUGAUCGAUGACUCGUGGGGAAAACAUCUUGAUAACCAGUAGAAGGAGUAAUAAAUACAGCCAGAUGAUAAGAGGGUAUACAGGCAGAAGGCACACAAAGUUUUUUCUCAUGGAUGCACAGUAUAGUUAAUAUGAUCGUCAUUCCAUUGUUUUAAAGCUACUAUUUUGCCUCUACUAUUUCCUACCUCUACUAUUUUGGUAUCACUUUUUAAUAACUUUUAGAAAUACUUCAUUAAUAAGUAAUAAUAAUAAUAUGAAUGAUGGGGUAAUCAUUAAAAAAUCAUUUGUGGAUGUUCAUCUUAUGCAGCGGACUAUACAAACUGGUAGUCUCUGGUUUCCAUCAUAGACAACAUCAUAAACAUGGAAACCUGUGAUGUCACUAAUGGGUCGGUUUGACAUGGCUUGUAAAGGCUGAUCAACAUCACACCUGGUGGCAAAUAAGUCUCUUUAACAUAGCACCUUUCAAAUGUACAUCAAAUGAAUGUGACUGAAAUUAGAUGUGUUGUUCAUGAUUAGUUCAUCAAUAACUAAAGGAUUAUAAAUGACUCGAGACAUAAUGUUAUGAUGAAGUAUUAACCAUUUUAUGGGUAACACUUUUAUUACCCAAUUAUUCUCCAUGCCGGCCUACUGUGUAGAUUCUACUCCCACACGUGUUUCCAAUGCGGAAAAGAAAUGGUGUUGUUAUAUUCACCUCCUUUAUCUCUACGCGAUAAAACCACAGGACCAAGUCAACCAACACCUGCUCCACGUUUCCAAGCAACAAUAAAACCUUAAACAACCGCAGUCACCAGAAUACAGCGCCACUCUGGUUUCAUGUUCAACCACACCAGAUUAGUGGUGUAUCAGCACCAGCGCUGCUAAUAGGCUUUGGCUUCGCUGCCCUGAUGCCAAAGGUCGUGUUUGAGUUGUUACCCUGCUGGCAGAGUGCCAGACGCCUCUCUCUGGAGUCUUGGUUCCUAACAGGAGGGAGAGUCUUGGUUCCUAACAAAAGAGAGUCUUGGUUCCUAGCAGGAGGGAGAGUCUUGGUUCCUAGCAGGAGGGAGAGUCUUGGUUCCUAACAAAAGAGAGUCUUGGUUCCUAGCAGGAGGGAGAGUCUUGGUUCCUAGCAGGAGGGAGAGUCUUGGUUCCUAA
This is a long non-coding RNA of Gadus macrocephalus (Pacific cod), 1623 nucleotides long. RefSeq lists it as uncharacterized. The transcript has 2 exons. The record is from RefSeq and is a predicted model, not a curated record. NCBI's taxonomy places the organism in Eukaryota, Metazoa, Chordata, Actinopteri, Gadiformes, Gadidae.